UACAGAGGUCUCAAGCGUUGUUCGGAUUUAUUGGGCGUAAAGGGUGCGUAGGUGGUGCGGUAAGUUAAGUGUGAAAUAGUAAGGCUCAACCUUGCGACUGCACUUAAUACUGCUGCGCUAGAGUUUUGUAUAGGAGAUUGGAAUUUACGGUGUAGCAGUGAAAUGCGUAGAUAUCGUAAGGAACACCAGUAGCGAAAGCGAAUCUCUGGGCAAUAUCUGACACUGAGGCACGAAGGCUGGGGGAGCAAACGGG
Molecule: ribosomal RNA, 253 nt
Filed under: uncultured bacterium
Lineage: Bacteria
Description: partial 16S ribosomal RNA
Rfam family: Bacterial small subunit ribosomal RNA
Source: RNAcentral